GCUAGCGUAGCUUAAAAUAAAGCAUAGCACUGAAGAUGCUAAGAUGGGCCUUAAAAGCUCCGCAUGCA
RNAcentral lists this transfer RNA (68 nucleotides) under Troglonectes barbatus. Its description in RNAcentral is "tRNA-Phe". It matches the Rfam family "tRNA". From Rfam's summary of the family: Transfer RNA (tRNA) molecules are approximately 80 nucleotides in length. Their secondary structure includes four short double-helical elements and three loops (D, anti-codon, and T loops). The record is from RNAcentral. Lineage: Eukaryota; Metazoa; Chordata; Actinopteri; Cypriniformes; Nemacheilidae.